AACGAACGCUGGCGGCAGGCCUAACACAUGCAAGUCGAGCGCGCCCUUCGGGGUGAGCGGCGGACGGGGGAGUAACGCGUGGGAACAUGCCCUUUUCUACGGAAUAGCCUCGGGAAACAGAGAGUAAUACCGGAUACGCUCCUGGGUGGAAAGAUUUGUCGGAAAAGGAGCGGCGCGGGUUGGAUUAGGUAGUUGGUGGGGUAAGUGCCUACCAAUCGUUGGAGCCAUAGCUGGUUUGAGAGGAUGAUAAGCCACACUGGUACUGAGACACGGCCCAGACUAUUACGCGAGGGAGCAGUGGCGAAUCUUGGAAUAUGGGGGCAACCAUGAUCUAGCCAUGCCGCGUGAGUGAUGAAGGUCUUAGGGUUGUAAAGCAAUUUAAGCUGGGAAGAUAAUGACGGUACCAGCAGAAGAAGCCCCGGCUAACUCCGUG
RNAcentral lists this ribosomal RNA (433 nucleotides) under uncultured bacterium. RNAcentral's name for it is "partial 16S ribosomal RNA". It matches the Rfam family "Bacterial small subunit ribosomal RNA", at positions 29 to 507 of the family's 1533-position model. The record is from RNAcentral.